This 27-nucleotide non-coding RNA is filed under the name Cricetulus griseus (Chinese hamster). The record is from RNAcentral. Lineage: Eukaryota; Metazoa; Chordata; Mammalia; Rodentia; Cricetidae.
AGGGAUUGACAUCUGAAGCAAGCUUGU